CCCUUAGAUGUUCUGGGCCGCACGCGCGCUACACUGAUGCAUUCAACGAGUUUCUUCCUGGUCCGAGAGGAAUGAGUAACCUUUUGAAAGUGCAUCGUGAUAGGGAUAGACUAUUGCAAUUAUUGGUCUUCAACGAGGAAUUCCUAGUAGACGUAGUUCAUCAGACUGCAUCGAUUACGUCCCUGCCCUUUGUACACACCGCCCGUCGCUCCUACCGAUGAAUCGUCCGGUGAAGUUCAUGGAGUGGUGGUUGUUCCAGCUGCUGUCGAAGUGAAAUGGACCUCGCGAUUUAGAGGAAGGAGAAGUCGUAACA
RNAcentral lists this ribosomal RNA (313 nucleotides) under uncultured eukaryote. RNAcentral describes it as "partial 18S ribosomal RNA". It matches the Rfam family "Eukaryotic small subunit ribosomal RNA", at positions 1470 to 1796 of the family's 1831-position model. The record is from RNAcentral.